This 254-nucleotide ribosomal RNA is filed under the name uncultured bacterium. RNAcentral describes it as "partial 16S ribosomal RNA". It matches the Rfam family "Bacterial small subunit ribosomal RNA", at positions 524 to 776 of the family's 1533-position model. The record is from RNAcentral.
UACGAAGGGGGCUAGCGUUGUUCGGAAUCACUGGGCGUAAAGCGCACGUAGGCGGCUCGUUAAGUCGGGGGUGAAAUCCCGAGGCUCAACCUCGGAACUGCCUUCGAUACUGGCGAUCUUUGAGUCCGGGAGAGGUGAGUGGAACUCCGAGUGUAGAGGUGAAAUUCGUAGAUAUUCGGAAGAACACCAGUGGCGAAGGCGGCUCACUGGCCCGGUACCGACGCUGAGGUGCGAAAGCGUGGGGAGCAAACAGG